Molecule: transfer RNA, 67 nt
Filed under: Bokermannohyla alvarengai (Santa Barbara treefrog)
Lineage: Eukaryota; Metazoa; Chordata; Amphibia; Anura; Hylidae
Description: tRNA-Ser
Source: RNAcentral
GAACUUGUCUGGAAAAGCAAGAACUGCUAAUUACUUGUUUCUAUGGUUCAACUCCGUAGCAAGAUCA